CACGUAGUUAGCCGUGACUUCCUCGCCGGGUACCAUCACUCAGAAAGCUUUCCACUCUUUCUGCCUUUUGUCCCCGGCAACAGAGCUUUACGGUCCGAAGACCUUCCUCGCUCACGCGGCAUUGCUCGUUCAGGGUUCCCCCCAUUGACGAAAAUUCCCUACUGCUGCCUCCCGCAGGAGUCUGGGCCGUGUCUCAGUCCCAGUGUGGCCGUCCGCCCUCUCAGGCCGGCUAUGCAUCGUCGCCUUGGUGAGCCGUUACCUCUCCAACCAGCUAAUGCACCGCAGGCCCAUCUGCAUGCGGGACUCUUGUCCCCUUUUCCAAAAAGAGAUGCCUCCUCUUUGCUCAUCCGGUAUCAGCUUCCGUUCCAGAAGUUCUCCCGCUCAUGCAGGCAGGUUCCCUACGUGUUACUCACCCGUUCGCCACUCAUAUCCGAAGAUAUCCGUUCGACUUGCAUGUAUUAGGCAUCGCCGCCAGCGUUCAUCCUGAGCCAGGUA
This 495-nucleotide ribosomal RNA is filed under the name uncultured Erysipelotrichaceae bacterium. RNAcentral's name for it is "partial 16S ribosomal RNA". The record is from RNAcentral. Lineage: Bacteria; Bacillati; Bacillota; Erysipelotrichia; Erysipelotrichales; Erysipelotrichaceae.